RNAcentral lists this ribosomal RNA (815 nucleotides) under uncultured bacterium. RNAcentral describes it as "bacterial SSU rRNA". It matches the Rfam family "Bacterial small subunit ribosomal RNA", at positions 54 to 875 of the family's 1533-position model. The record is from RNAcentral.
CAUGCAAGUCGAGGGGUAUGGUUCUUCGGAACCAGAGACCGGCGCACGGGUGCGUAACGCGUAUGCAAUCUGCCUUUCACAGAGGGAUAGCCCAGAGAAAUUUGGAUUAAUACCUCAUAGUAUAGCGACAUCGCAUGAUGAUGCUAUUAAAGUCACAACGGUGAAAGAUGAGCAUGCGUCCCAUUAGCUAGUUGGUAAGGUAACGGCUUACCAAGGCAACGAUGGGUAGGGGUCCUGAGAGGGAGAUCCCCCACACUGGUACUGAGACACGGACCAGACUCCUACGGGAGGCAGCAGUGAGGAAUAUUGGUCAAUGGGCGCAAGCCUGAACCAGCCAUGCCGCGUGCAGGAUGACGGUCCUAUGGAUUGUAAACUGCUUUUGCACAGGAAGAAACACUGAUUCGUGAAUCAGCUUGACGGUACUGUGAGAAUAAGGAUCGGCUAACUCCGUGCCAGCAGCCGCGGUAAUACGGAGGAUCCAAGCGUUAUCCGGAAUCAUUGGGUUUAAAGGGUCCGUAGGCGGUCUGGUAAGUCAGUGGUGAAAGCCCAUCGCUCAACGGUGGAACGGCCAUUGAUACUGCUGGACUUGAAUUAUUAGGAAGUAACUAGAAUAUGUAGUGUAGCGGUGAAAUGCUUAGAGAUUACAUGGAAUACCAAUUGCGAAGGCAGGUUACUACUAAUGGAUUGACGCUGAUGGACGAAAGCGUGGGUAGCGAACAGGAUUAGAUACCCUGGUAGUCCACGCCGUAAACGAUGGAUACUAGCUGUUGGAAGCAAUUUCAGUGGCUAAGCGAAAGUGAUAAGUAUCCCACCUG